ACUCCUACGGGAGGCAGCAGUGGGAAGUAUUGCAUCAAUGGCAGGCAAGCGCAUGCAGCCAUGCCGCGUGUGUGAAGAAGGCCUUCGGGUUGUAAAAGCACUUUCAGUCGUGAGGAAGGUAGUGUAGUUAAUAGCUGCAUUAUUUGACGUUAGCGACAGAAGAAGCACCGGCUAACUCCGUGCCAGCAGCCGCGGUAAUACGGAGGGUGCGAGCGUUAAUCGGAAUUACUGGGCGUAAAGCGCAUGCAGGUGGUUUGUUAAGUCAGAUGUGAAAG
Molecule: ribosomal RNA, 275 nt
Filed under: uncultured bacterium
Lineage: Bacteria
Description: partial 16S ribosomal RNA
Rfam family: Bacterial small subunit ribosomal RNA
Source: RNAcentral